GAUGAACGCUGGCGGCGUGCCUAAUACAUGCAAGUCGAGCGAACGGACGAGAAGCUUGCUUCUCUGAUGUUAGCGGCGGACGGGUGAGUAACACGUGGAUAACCUACCUAUAAGACUGGGAUAACUUCGGGAAACCGGAGCUAAUACCGGAUAAUAUUUUGAACCGCAUGGUUCAAAAGUGAAAGACGGUCUUGCUGUCACUUAUAGAUGGAUCCGCGCUGCACUAGCUAGUUGGUAAGGUAACGUCUUACCAAGGCGACGAUGCAUAGCCGACCUGAGAGGGUGAUCGGCCACACUGGAACUGAGACACGCUCCAGACUCCUACGGGAGGCAGCAGUAGGGAAUCUUCCGCAAUGGGCGAAAGCCUGACGGAGCAACGCCGCGUGAGUGAUGAAGGUCUUCGGAUCGUAAAACUCUGUUAUUAGGGAAGAACAUAUGUGUAAGUAACUGUGCACAUCUUGACGGUACCUAAUCAGAAAGCCACGGCUAACUACGUG
This 497-nucleotide ribosomal RNA is filed under the name uncultured bacterium. RNAcentral's name for it is "partial 16S ribosomal RNA". It matches the Rfam family "Bacterial small subunit ribosomal RNA", at positions 28 to 507 of the family's 1533-position model. The record is from RNAcentral.